GGAAUAUUGCACAAUGGGCGAAAGCCUGAUGCAGCGACGCCGCGUGAGGGAUGACGGCCUUCGGGUUGUAAACCUCUUUCAGUAGGGAAGAAGCGAAAGUGACGGUACCUGCAGAAGAAGCGCCGGCUAACUACGUGCCAGCAGCCGCGGUAAUACGUAGGGCGCAAGCGUUAUCCGGAUUUAUUGGGCGUAAAGAGCUCGUAGGCGGUUUGUCGCGUCUGCCGUGAAAGUCCGAGGCUCAACCUCGGAUCUGCGGUGGGUACGGGCAGACUAGAGUGAUGUAGGGGAGACUGGAAUUCCUGGUGUAGCGGUGAAAUGCGCAGAUAUCAGGAGGAACACCGAUGGCGAAGGCAGGUCUCUGGGCAUUUACUGACGCUGAGGAGCGAAAGCAUGGGGAGCGAACAGGAUUAGAUACCCUUG
Molecule: ribosomal RNA, 420 nt
Filed under: uncultured Glutamicibacter sp.
Lineage: Bacteria; Bacillati; Actinomycetota; Actinomycetes; Micrococcales; Micrococcaceae
Description: bacterial SSU rRNA
Rfam family: Bacterial small subunit ribosomal RNA
Source: RNAcentral